GGCACCUCAUUGUAUCCUCAAAUGGAUAAAAUUAUUUAGGACUAACAAUUGCAGCAUGUCUCAUAGGUAUGUCUGAUAGCUUCUCAAUAAUGCAUAACUGAAAGUUUCUAUCAAGCUGUGUUUUUUGACUUGGUGUCAAUGAUUGAAGCAGCUGGUCCACACAUCUGCUUCUUUUUAGCUGUUGAAAGAAUGUGUAGAGAGAGAGAGAGAGAGAGAGAGAGCUAUUGCUUCACUUCCAUCCUUAGCAGGAUGUUGUGAACACAUCAAAUAAUUUCCCAACAGUAUCUUAUAUGGAGGAUAAGACCAGCAUUCUUUUAUGAUUCUGCUGCAUAAUUAAUUUGCUGAUGCAGAUGAGACUGGACAGGUUGAUGUUUGAGUCAAGCCCUUGUCAUUGAUUUCUUCUCAGUUGAUCCAUAUUAUGAUAAAUCUUUGACUGGCAAAAAAAAAAAAAGGAGCUGAGACUGCUCUAGUGUUUUGAUUUAUAGUGAGGGCCCUGUUGAGGAUGCUCAGCAGCAGCAAGAUUAACUGAAGGGUAGACAGCAGCACUCAACUCAGAAUAAUUUUUGCUGUAAGCACAAAAGAUCUGCUUUGCUUGGAUCAGUCCUCCAUGAUCCAAAUGGUUUUUCCUGACCGUGAGCCUAGAAGCUUGUAACUUGGGGCUUCAAUCUGGCAGAGCUUCUGUGUUCUUCUGAAUCACAGAAAAAGAGUUUGUCAAAUGAGAGAGAGUUUACAGAACCUAAGCAAAGUAGAAGAGACUUUAAGACAAGUGCUAGAUUUGGCAAAGAUAGAAGAUCAUUCUGAAAAAGUUAUAAAAAGAUGAUCUGAUUCUCCUUUAGAGCUCAUUGAAUUGAAACAGAAGAAUCUUAGGAUGCCCAGACAAUUGUGCUUUUUCAGAAGGUAAAUGGAUGUUACUUACAAGAUCUAUAUUUGACUGCAUGCAAUUUACUUAGUUGUCCAUCAACCAAUCGAUUAAUUUAUUUGCUUGCAUUCAAAAUUACAAGUUGGGAGAUAUGUGCUCCUGUUACCCAAAUCAUCAAGACUCUAUCAGUCACUUGAUGAUGAAUGAACAUACUGAAAGAAAGCUGAUAUACAUUAAUAUGCAAAAAGAAGAAUCAUGGAGCUACUGAACAAUAAUAUAUCAUUAGCCAAGCCUUUUGCUUUUCUGUGGUUCCAGAUUUUGCUCUAUGUAAGAUGUUUGUUAUCUCUUUGAUUGAGACCCCUUAAUCAAUCAGUGUUUGCUUUGUUACCUACAGAACAAUAUAUCAUUAGCUAAGCUUUUUGCUUUAUCAGUGCUGCCCCAUAGAAUUUGUUUUUUCUUUUUUACCUUAUUUUCUAUUCUACAUGGCUAUGAUAGAUCCAAACAUAGAACCCGAAUGAUUUAUCUGUCAAUUUUGCCUCGCUUUUUCUUUGUUUCUUUUUUCUUUUUCAAUUUCCAGAUGCUUAUUCCUUCAAAGUAAUAACAAGUCGUAACUCAGAAAUUUGCUAAAUCAAAACGAGACUUUCAUCCAGUGAAAAGGAAGAGAAAAUAUAAGAUAUCACACAAAUAGAAAGUCAUUUUAUGGUUGACCAUAUAACACUGCAGAAGCCACAUAAAAGUCUUGGUGUCUAUAUAUGAACAAUCAAAUGUAACAGAUCAAGCAGAAAUAAUAAGCAAGUCCUUAUUUUCGCAAAUAUUUGAGACUGCAUUAUGGACAUGGAAGUAUCAGCCUAUUCCUGGAGAGCCAUUAUUGGAACCAUCAACAAAAUUCAUUAAGUUUCUUGAAUUAGUUCUGAAUUCUUCUUUUGCCUAAGUUACUGAUGAACUUUACCAUAUUGCUGAAGGAGAGCAAAUUAGUUCAGAACUUUACCAACUUGCCAAGUUACUGAAUUCUUCUUUUGCCUAAGUUACUGAUGAACUUUACCAACUUGCUGAAGGAGAGCAAAUUAUGGACAUGGAACUAUGGAAGUAUCAAUCUAUGCCUGGAGAGGCAUUAUCAGAACCAUCAACAAAUUCAUUAAGUUUCUUGAAUUAGUUCUAAAUUCUUUUGCCUAAGUUACUGAUGAACUUUACCAACUUGCUAAGGAGAGCAAAUUAGUUCAGCAAAGUUGCACCACAGUUCACAAUUAAAAGCAUUUCAUCCAUCAAGCCUUCCAGAACAACAAGUGGGCAAGUGAAUUCAUGUGGUCUGCUGUCAGACUCUUUGUCCACUUUCCCAAGAAAAUCUUCUGAAAAUUGAUGUCACGUAGGAACCUCUCCUGGUGUCCUCUUCCUCUCACUCGUUUGCUACCUUCCAGUGGAAGGUGGGGCACUAAAUUCAGCAGUAUCUCAAAAGCUGAGCCUCCUACUUGGAUGAUCUGGCCCCUAGCACCACUACCAAAAGCUUCUAGAAGAAUUGAAACAAGCACAUACAUUACAAGGACUAUGAUAUCUUACAACUUGUGGCUGUCAGAGUGGUUGUGUUUCUAAAAUCCAGAAUUUGAUCACUGAUUUACCAAGAAGAUGACAAAGACCAUAUUGUGCUUUGAUUAUGUCUCUUUUAAAUUCUGCAUUGCAUGAAGAGGGUGGCUCUUCAUUGGUGUGAUUCCAAGGUAAUUUUUCAUCAGAUAUGAGGGUACUGAGUUGAGAUCUUCCUGCAACAAAUGCUGUUUGACAUGAAUCAGAACACUAAUCUGUUGCAGACAGACUUGACUUAUCCAGACCCACUGUCAGCCAUUUUCAUCUUGCUUCAUAAUUAUAGUCAAAGACUGGCUGUGGCAGCCAGCACACUAACAGUGAGAUGUGAUCUAAAGUUGUGAGAAAAAUACAAAGAUCUUUGGAAAUUAUUUGGGACUGGGGACCAUAUUUGAGCACUUUCCUUAUCUGAAAGGAUAAGGAUUGAUGAAGUCUUGUACAAGUCCCAGUCUUGUCCUUAAGAGCUUCUGCAUGGGUAUCAAACACUUGCAUAUUGUGCAAAGUUUGACAUGUAGCAGAACAAAAGUUUGAAGUCUUUUAUCCAAUUUCUUGAAAGCUCUUCUCGAGCAUGGUGGUAAAAACUUGCUACUUUCAAAACUUGUUGCAUAUCUGAUUGUUUGCAUUUGUUUUGGCAGAAGGAACUCCAUGCCAAAGAAAAAAUCAAGAACUGGCACACCUAUCUGACAACAUUAUUUUUAUCUUUGUUGACAUGGAAACCAUCUCUUGAUGAGAACUGGUUGCCCAGAAGUAUCAAACACUGCAAACUAAGCAUAUAAUUCCAUGUUAGCUAACAUAUCCAUAUAGCACUAGCAAAACCAGUUUUAUCUGCACAGCUCAAAACGGAAGUUAGAUCAAAUACUGGAAUUUUAAGCCAGCAGAGGUUUUAGAGCAAAAUUAAUGCUGAUUAGACCAAUGAGGCAAAUAUUCUAAGGACAACACUGAAAUUUCCUUGGCAUCUUUUAAUAGACAAUAGCAGUUAAAUGCUACAUAUGCGCAAUGAAGUGCAAAGCAGAAAAUUUGCUAAAACCAUCCACCGGUACGCACAUUCAACUAUUCAGGAUAUUAAGUGCAGCAAGAUAGAAUUUUUGAAGGAGCUAACUGAAUUUAAGCCCAAUUAUUUUCAUCUUCUUCCUCGACAACAUUGUUCGGUAUAGUCCUAAUCUGAUCUGAGCUUAAAUGAACACAUGGAAAAAGUAGGAUUCAUUAAACAUUUCAAUCUAAGAUUUCUGAUGACAACAUGUAAACCACGAAAAUCAAGAAUCUAAAACCACAUCUCACAGGAUAUGCACAAGUGUAUUCAACCAUGGAUGACAAUUAGCAUGUUUUUAAUGAUGCUCGAGUAUGGAUCACUAUCUGCAUUUGGCAUGAGUAAAAUAACUAAAUUUUCAUUCAGAAAAUAACCAGUGGUCAGAGAGUUAAUUACAAGAAACAAUACAUCAUAACCGAAAUGGUGGAUUUUGAGUCUGUGAACUGUGAAGUUGGACUUAUUUGACCUUUUAUUAUGUUUCUCAACUCAAGAUCAUCAUCAAACCUGCCAUUUUGAUUACAUUUUUCAAAUGAAGUGCAGUUGCAUUGAUGUUCCAGAACUGCUCCAAGAUGGAGUCACUAUCACUCUUCUGUCAAAAAGAGGCAAUGCUUCCAGAUGAAUGUCCUUUUCUUCCUAAAAUUGACAACCUCUAAAACCUGUUCUUACUGUUCUAUCAUGCAGUGCAACAAAACAACAAGCAAAAUAAGUGGCAUCACUCAGCCAAACUCCACCACUUGACCCCAAGACAAACAGCUCCAUAUGGCACAGAAGAUGAAGAUCUCAUCUCAUGUCUCCAUACCCAUCAAGCCUCACCAUUUCAAUGACUCAAAGAGUCUCCCAAGAACCAAAUUCUAUAGCUUGAAAACAAAAGAAGCAAUACAACUUCAAGUUUUCCUUCCACCUCAGGAUUAUAAUGAACAGAAUCACCACUCCCUAAGUGCUUCUGGAAUUCUCUGGCAGUUCCUUCCAAGCUAAAAUUGCCAAUCCAUUGUCCUCUCCAUCUCUCUCUACAUAUCCAUCCAAAUCACAUGUGAUUUGCUCUUUCCAGUACCCAAAAGACCUAGCACUGAUUGUCCCGCACACCUCACACAUGGCCCCAAACCAUUGAGUCAUACAAAGUCACAAUUAAAAAAAAUUCCAUGGAUGAUGAUUCCUAUCCUAUCAUUAAUUGAUUGUCCCUCAUCUUACUUGCCCCAAGAUCUUUAAAUACCAAAAAUAAAUAUUAUUUCUAUGAAUUAUAGAAUUUUUGUAACUGGUAAUGGUAGCAUCUCUAGAAUUAUGGGUCCUUACCAUGAAGCCCCAUGAACCACAAAUAUACAGAUCCACAAGAAAUGAAAUCAUCAAACACACUUGCUCCCUCUCUACUUAAACCCCCAUCCAACCCCAUCCUUGCAUCACAAGUUUACUACCAUUCAGUGGCAACAGUAUUCACGAAUGAGAGGAUGAGAAGAAAAGCACCAUAAAUGAGUAGAGAGAGAGUGCAUAGCGAGAGAGAAACUGUAGGAUGAGAGGAAGAGUGAAGAGAGGAAGAGGGAUAGAGGGAGAGGAGUGUCACAAGGAUUUGAUACCGCGUUUGCCGGAUGACAUAGCAUUGGAUUGCCUCGCCCGAGUCCCGCUCCGAUUCCAC
Molecule: long non-coding RNA, 5085 nt
Filed under: Musa acuminata (dwarf banana)
Lineage: Eukaryota; Viridiplantae; Streptophyta; Magnoliopsida; Zingiberales; Musaceae
Description: long non-coding RNA (MACU_LNC003558)
Source: RNAcentral